This is a long non-coding RNA of Saccoglossus kowalevskii, 526 nucleotides long. RefSeq lists it as uncharacterized. The record is from RefSeq and is a predicted model, not a curated record. NCBI's taxonomy places the organism in Eukaryota, Metazoa, Hemichordata, Enteropneusta, Harrimaniidae.
AUAUCUUUGUGACGCUCAUCUGUGCAACAUAAGCUGAGGCUUCCUUGCAGUAUAUCCGGCGUGUAUCGUAUAGAUUGAAUACAACUAAAGAUGACUUAUUUUCGAUUACUCGUACUGACCGUUGUGCUUUCCGUGUUAUUAUUGGCGGUCGAGGGUAGUGACUUCGAAAGAAGACUGAGUGCACGUGCUUCGAAGAAAGGUGGAAAGGAACGAUGCGAUUAUUACGGUACUUUAUACAGAGAAGGACAAACAUGGAACGUGAUAGACGAUUUGUGCAAUACAUGCGUUUGUGAGAAAGAUACUAGCGGCGUGUUAGAUUAUUCUUGUACUGAUGACGUUUGUUUUUAUGGAGCCGGCAAGUAAACCUUGGUACGGAUAAACUGGAAAGCACAUCGCAGUAUUGUUUCACAGUGUCCCGGAUGUAGAAACACGGUACUGCCCGAGAGUGACAUUGUACAUUUCAAAAACCGCCAUUAUGACGUCAUAACUGUGAUGUGUUCAUGGAAUAAAGUUAUUGAACCCUGAA